This 253-nucleotide ribosomal RNA is filed under the name uncultured bacterium. Its description in RNAcentral is "partial 16S ribosomal RNA". It matches the Rfam family "Bacterial small subunit ribosomal RNA", at positions 524 to 776 of the family's 1533-position model. The record is from RNAcentral.
UACGAAGGGGGCUAGCGUUGUUCGGAAUUACUGGGCGUAAAGCGCACGUAGGCGGGUCGUUAAGUCAGGGGUGAAAUCCCGGAGCUCAACUCCGGAACUGCCUGUGAUACUGGCGAUCUUGAGAUCGGAAGAGGUGAGUGGAAUUCCCAGUGUAGAGGUGAAAUUCGUAGAUAUUGGGAAGAACACCAGUGGCGAAGGCGGCUCACUGGUCCGAUACUGACGCUGAGGUGCGAAAGCGUGGGGAGCAAACAGG